AGCGAACGCUGGCGGCGUGCUUAACACAUGCAAGUCGAGCGAAGGUGUUUCAAGGGUAACCUUGAGAUACACUUAGCGGCGGACGGGUGAGUAAUACGUGGAUAACUUACCUCUAGGCCUGGGAUAACCCCGGGAAACUGGGGCUAAUACCUGAUAAGACCACAUUGUCUACGGACAAAGGGGUAAAAGGUGGCUGUGCAAACAGCUAUCGCCAAAAGAUAGGUUCACGUCCCAUCAGGCAGUUGGUGAGGUAAUGGCUCACCAAACCAAAGACGGGUAGCCGGCCUUGGCGGGUGAACGGCCACACGGGGACUGAGACACGGCCCCGACUCCUACGGGAGGCAGCAGUGGGGAAUAUUGGGCAAUGGGCGCAAGCCUGACCCAGCGACGUCGCGUU
Molecule: ribosomal RNA, 397 nt
Filed under: uncultured bacterium
Lineage: Bacteria
Description: bacterial SSU rRNA
Rfam family: Bacterial small subunit ribosomal RNA
Source: RNAcentral